Molecule: ribosomal RNA, 686 nt
Filed under: uncultured bacterium
Lineage: Bacteria
Description: bacterial SSU rRNA
Rfam family: Bacterial small subunit ribosomal RNA
Source: RNAcentral
AUAAUCGUUGGAAACGACGACUAAUACCGCAUACGGUUCUUGGAAGGCAUCUUCUAAGAAAGAAAGGAUUUAUUCGGUAAAAGAUGGGCCCGCAUCUGAUUAGCUAGUUGGUGAGAUAAUAGCCCACCAAGGCAACGAUCAGUAGCCGACCUGAGAGGGUGACCGGCCACAUUGGGACUGAGACACGGCCCAAACUCCUACGGGAGGCAGCAGUGGGGAAUAUUGCACAAUGGGGGAAACCCUGAUGCAGCAACGCCGCGUGAAGGAAGACGGUUUUCGGAUUGUAAACUUCUAUCAAUAGGGAAGAAAGAAAUGACGGUACCUAAAUAAGAAGCCCCGGCUAACUACGUGCCAGCAGCCGCGGUAAUACGUAGGGGGCAAGCGUUAUCCGGAAUUACUGGGUGUAAAGGGAGAGUAGGCGGCAAGGUAAGCGAUAUGUGAAAGCCUUAAGCUUAACUAAAGGAUUGCAUAACGAACUAUCUAGCUAGAGUACAGGAGAGGAAAGCGGAAUUCCUAGUGUAGCGGUGAAAUGCGUAGAUAUUAGGAAGAACACCAGUGGCGAAGGCAGCUUUCUGGACUGAAACUGACGCUGAGGCUCGAAAGCGUGGGGAGCGAACAGGAUUAGAUACCCUGGUAGUCCACGCUGUAAACGAUGAGUGCUAGGUGUCGGGGAGGAAUUCCCGGUG